AAACAAUUUUAUUUAAAUCACACACAUAUCGCACGGGUAAAUCGGGGUGCCAAACGGUCGAUUUGCUUGGUAUGUGGAGGCAAAAC
RNAcentral lists this small RNA (86 nucleotides) under Pasteurella bettyae CCUG 2042. RNAcentral's name for it is "t44 RNA". It matches the Rfam family "t44 RNA". From Rfam's summary of the family: This family consists of a number of bacterial RNA genes of between 135 and 170 bases in length. The t44 gene is found between the map and rpsB genes in all species in the full alignment apart from Shigella flexneri. The record is from Rfam by way of RNAcentral. Lineage: Bacteria; Pseudomonadati; Pseudomonadota; Gammaproteobacteria; Pasteurellales; Pasteurellaceae.